Molecule: ribosomal RNA, 253 nt
Filed under: uncultured bacterium
Lineage: Bacteria
Description: partial 16S ribosomal RNA
Rfam family: Bacterial small subunit ribosomal RNA
Source: RNAcentral
UACGGAGGGGGCUAGCGUUGUUCGGAAUUACUGGGCGUAAAGCGCACGUAGGCGGCUUUGUAAGUUAGAGGUGAAAGCCCAGGGCUCAACCCUGGAAUUGCCUUUAAGACUGCAUCGCUAGAAUUGUGGAGAGGUGAGUGGAAUUCCCAGUGUAGAGGUGAAAUUCGUAGAUAUUAGGAAGAACACCAGUGGCGAAGGCGGCUCACUGGCCCGGUACUGACGCUGAGGCGCGAAAGCGUGGGGAGCAAACAGG